This 455-nucleotide ribosomal RNA is filed under the name Preussia funiculata. RNAcentral describes it as "eukaryotic LSU rRNA". The stretch from base 58 to 211 matches the Rfam family "5.8S ribosomal RNA". Lineage: Eukaryota; Fungi; Ascomycota; Dothideomycetes; Pleosporales; Sporormiaceae. The record is from RNAcentral.
ACCCCAAUAAACCCUUUGUAAUACCUGUAAUCGUCUGACAAAACAAACAAAAAUUAAAACUUUCAACAACGGAUCUCUUGGUUCUGGCAUCGAUGAAGAACGCAGCGAAAUGCGAUAAGUAGUGUGAAUUGCAGAAUUCAGUGAAUCAUCGAAUCUUUGAACGCACAUUGCGCCCUAUGGUAUUCCGUAAGGCAUGCCUGUUCAAGCGUCAUUCAAACCUUCAAGCUCUGCUUGGUGUUGGGCGUCUGUCCUGCCUCACGGCGCGGACUCGCCUCAAAUCAAUUGGCGGCCGGCACGUUGGCUUCGAGCGCAGCAGAAACGCGAACUCGAGACCGGCGGAUCGGCUCCCAAAAGCUACCCCCCAUGAAUUUGACCUCGGAUCAGGUAAGGAUACCCGCUGAACUUAAUCAUAUCAAUAAGCGGAGGAAAGGAUCAUUAUCGUGGGGCUUCGGCCC